Molecule: ribosomal RNA, 440 nt
Filed under: uncultured bacterium
Lineage: Bacteria
Description: partial 16S ribosomal RNA
Rfam family: Bacterial small subunit ribosomal RNA
Source: RNAcentral
CCUACGGGAGGCUGCAGUAGGGAAUAUUGCUCAAUGGGGGAAACCCUGAAGCAGCAACGCCGCGUGGAGGAUGAAGGUUCUCGGAUUGUAAACUCCUUUUGUUAGAGAAGAUAAUGACGGUAUCUAACGAAUAAGCACCGUCUAACUCCGUGCCAGCAGCCGCGGUAAUACGGAGGGUGCAAGCGUUACUCGGAAUCACUGGGCGUAAAGCGCGUGUAGGCGGGAUAGCAAGUCAGAUGUGAAAUCCUAUGGCUUAACCAUAGAACUGCAUUUGAAACUGUUAUUCUAGAGUAUGGGAGAGGUAGGUGGAAUUCUUGGUGUAGGGGUAAAAUCCGUAGAGAUCAAGAGGAAUACUCAUUGCGAAGGCGACCUGCUAGAACAUAACUGACGCUGAUGCGCGAAAGCGUGGGGAGCAAACAGGAUUAGAUACCCCGGUAGUC